This 381-nucleotide transfer-messenger RNA is filed under the name Ktedonobacterales. RNAcentral describes it as "JACDGC01 sp013815535 Standard tmRNA". It matches the Rfam family "transfer-messenger RNA". From Rfam's summary of the family: Bacterial tmRNA, also known as 10Sa RNA or SsrA, is named for its dual tRNA and mRNA-like properties. The record is from RNAcentral. Lineage: Bacteria; Bacillati; Chloroflexota; Ktedonobacteria. RNAcentral also lists the same sequence under 1 other name.
GGGGGUGCUGGGGCUCGACAGGUAGGUGUAGGGAUCGAUUGCAGGUCGAGGUGUCAGUGUGCAAUCUCGUAAAACAACUGACAAAAUUAUAGUUGCCAAACCCAACUAUGCUGGCGCAAGCCAGUUCGCUUUCGCUGCUUAAUACCCAGUGAUGCGCAUCCGUCCGUCCUCAUCUCAGCGGGCCGGGGCGCGGGUGUCACUUAGCUGAGGGGCUGCGGUGCCGAUCGCUCACUACGCACCGCCUGAGAUCAGGGAGCAUGGCUUGAGAGAAUCCCGCCGAUGGGAGUCCCACAAGCGUCACCAAAUCAUCGGAUAAACCUGUAGCACAUCGGUUCAGGCGCAUAUUUGGACGGGGGGUUCAACUCCCCCCCAUCUCCACCC